RNAcentral lists this ribosomal RNA (253 nucleotides) under uncultured bacterium. RNAcentral describes it as "partial 16S ribosomal RNA". It matches the Rfam family "Bacterial small subunit ribosomal RNA", at positions 524 to 776 of the family's 1533-position model. The record is from RNAcentral.
GACGGAGGAUGCGAGCGUUAUCCGGAAUGAUUGGGCGUAAAGCGUCCGCAGGUGGCAGUUCAAGUCUGCUGUCAAAGACCGGGGCUUAACUUCGGAAAGGCAGUGGAAACUGAACAGCUAGAGUAUGGUAGGGGCAGAGGGAAUUCCUGGUGUAGCGGUGAAAUGCGUAGAUAUCAGGAAGAACAUCGGUGGCGAAGGCGCUCUGCUGGACCAUAACUGACACUCAGGGACGAAAGCUAGGGGAGCGAAUGGG